Melitaea cinxia (Glanville fritillary) is the source of this 116-nucleotide long non-coding RNA. RefSeq lists it as uncharacterized. The transcript has 3 exons. The record is from RefSeq and is a predicted model, not a curated record. Lineage: Eukaryota; Metazoa; Arthropoda; Insecta; Lepidoptera; Nymphalidae.
UUUUAAUAUUCAGCGGGAAAUAUCCGGCACAAAAUCUGGAGCGGCCUGAUUGGGGAAGUACCUCGACCUUACAGAAUAUCACAGCUAAAUAAUACUUUCAGGCAGUGUUGUAUUUC